AAGUUUCCUUGAAUUAAGAUUAACUUAAUGCUCUCAAUAAAAACUGCUCUCUUAUCUAAAGGCGAGUGCAAAAUAAAGAAUUUUAUGGUAAAUUCAUAAAAAAUGUAAGGUAUUAAGAAAAUUUUGGUGAUGUAGGUCACAAAUAAAAGAAACAUGUAUUCUAGUGGUAGCCUGCAUGGCCAAUGUCAUUGUAAGACUCAUUUUACAUGAUGAAGCGUUGAGUGGUGGAAUAGAGAAGUACAGCUGUGAUUGCAAUUCACAAAGCUGGCACAUAUUAUGAGUGGCUGCCGGAGAAGAGGUAUAUAAGAUCCAUACGUGUGUGGGAAUACAUUUAAAUGAGACAGCGCAGACCGAAACCUUAUUUUUCGAUCAUGGCACUAUUGUUGGUUGCGCAUCAGUCAAAGAACAAAAUUAUUCCACUAGUCUCUCAGAAGACCUUUAGUCUUAAUCCCUGUGUACAUGCCACUGAUUGUUGCGUCGCUCUCUUUUCUAUUCAUGCCCCUUGAACAUUUGCGUUCAGUUUUCUGCAAUUCUACGUCAACUCACUUUUGGAACCCUUUAGUUGCUCCAGUUCUCUUUUAGUUUUAGACCAACAUUUCUGACUACUUGUAAGUUAGUGUUCACAAGGUUUCCAACAAGAUCCUAACAAUUGUUCUCCUGUGGCUAACUGCAUUUUUUGAUCAAUGAGUCAGAACAUGUCCUCCCUGUUUGACUGACAGACUGUUGGGGGAGGAAGGUGGUCCCCAAAGAGUGGUUUUGUUUACAUCUACAUAUUUCCAGAAUGCUGCAGGCUUACAAAGAUGGUGGAAACCAGCAGUGAUCCAGAAUUAAUUAUGAUAUCGUGCUACAGUAAUCAGUUUAAUAUGGACGUAAUUGUGAGAGGAUUUUUUCAUUAUUGCGGUUUACAUGUGUUGAUCCAAAACCAGGUUAUUGGAGAAUCUAAUCCUCUGGCAUGCACACACGGCCGCGUGCCUAGAGCUGAGGCCAUUAGCGCUAGGCUAGCGCUUGUUGAACAAAAAGCAACAAAUAUUGUAAUCUCAACAAAAAUUAUUUAGUUGUGUGUUGCAGCCGCAACCUUGACAGUAAACACUGCUGGCUGAAAUAAAAUGAGAGCUGUCAGGUGGACUCAAGUAAACAACAUACUUGCGAAAUAACACCCUCUCUGGCCGCGGCUAGGUGAGGUGGAGAGGACCCCAGUCCUGUUGAUGUCAUGCAGUUAGAGGGAGCUCCUUCGCCACCAGGUGUGGAAUACUGAUUCUAUAUAGACACAACUUGUAGGUGACUGUUAUGGCCUUUUUGGAACUCUUACGGUUACCAGCUAUAAGAUCAAACACCACUGGGUUAGUAGUGUGAAAAAAGUGUUAUAGAAUGAACUACUAUGGAUUACAGGAACGAGAUGUAAUAGCUCGAUACCUUUUAAAAAACAUCAGCCUUUUUACCAUGUCUAAAACAGCCCUCCACAGAGUGACUUGUUUUGAGUGCCUGUUCCUUUAAAUGCUAAUGAGCCAGCUCCACCCUUCCCCCUCCCCGAGUGUAGCCGUCCUGGAGCCACCGCUCGCCGAGAGAGACUCGGCGUCCUCUCUCUGCUCGAGUCUCUCCCUCCUGCUCACUGUUUUAUACAAGGGAGACAAUCAGUCCAGACGUUGAUGAGCUGUGCUAAUUAAUUCUCUGCCGGCCCCGUUCCCUGAACCACUCCCCCGCUCGCUCCCCUGUGCAGCUGAGCUACCCACAAAACCAACUGAAGUGCUUUAUCGUAUCUAUAGUGAGUGUAGAGGGGUGUAAGGCCAUAUAAGAGACUCCCAUUACAUUGUGACGACACAAUUACACGGAACCUCGAUCUCAGUCACUCAAGCACGACAUUUCUGAAUUACAAGAACCAUAACAAAUAGCGGAAGUGUUUUUUUUGGGGGGUCGGUAGACGUGCUCUAGGAAAGUCAUUGGAAGAUGACUCAAAAACAUUGUUGUCCUUGCAGUAAAUGGGGACUAGAGUAGACCAGGCAACAGGGUUAGAGAAGGGCAGGGCAGGGCCACAGGAGGUUAGUAAAUUAAGUUUUACUCAUCCCCAAGAGGAAAUUCUCCUCAUUUGACCCAUCAGCUUGCUUUGACUGGGGACUGACUGCAGCUCUGGGACUACUGCCUUGGUCAAGGGCAAGAGCGAACUUUGUCUCAACAGGGCAUAAUAAGGUUAUUUCUAAACAUGGCAUUGGGAUGCCGAGGGCCAGGGCAGGACCCGGGGUAGAAAAGAGCACUUCCAGUAAGUGUUUUCUGAUGAAAAUUUUUGUUAAAAUUAGGGAGGCUGUUCCUUUCUUCAGACAUAUUAUAAACAACAUGAGGAAAACACAUUUGAGGACUUUGGUAGAUUAUUUUUUAAGUAUGCUUGGUAGGUUUUGCUACUUCGCCUCUGCUUGAACAAUUUCACACAAAGGGACAUUUUCAUGCCGCUUUUAAAUGUUAAUUUGACAUUGCCUGAAACCAAACCGAACCUAUUUGUUUGUGCCCGCAAAAUAGAAAUAAUUGAAUUGGAUAAUUGACACACCCUCACUUAGACAGCCUGCCUGCACCAGCUGCCACUGAUUAGAUUUAUUAAUCUCAAAAAGUACAUCAUUGCCUCAAGACUUAUAGUAGCACAACUAGAUGGGUGACAAAAUUCCUUAUUUUUUGAGUGGGCAUUGUGCUAAUAAACAGUGAAAUUGGUCAUCGACUCAAACAAGGACAAACUAUCAUGUGCCACUUGUGAUGGUGAGAACACCUGCCGUCCUUGACAUCAGGUUGAUAAUGUUUGGUCAUAUUACACCCUUCCCAAUCCAUAAAAGUCCAUGAAUAGUGAAGGUGUCCGUUGUCAAAUAGAUGAUGAUAAUCAGUAGUUCAGCGACCCUGAAUAGAUGAGUAUUUGACCAACUAAAGAGAGUCAACUGCCGAUGAAACAAAGCUCUAGUACUUCACUAUAUUGGGUUUCAAAAACUAAUUGGUAGCGUAAUUACAUCUGAAAGUCAAUGCUCUAGAAUAGGGGUGCGCACACUUUUCCAGCUUGCAUGUCAAGUCAUGGCGAUCUACCCAGGAGACCCCCUCAACAUUUAGCGACAAUGAGCCUAACAUGGCCACUUUGAUACACACUGUACCAGUAACUUUAUAAAAUGUCAAUUUAAAGAUCAUUUUGCCGUUGAGGGUUGCAGCUGCCGGGAGCGUGGGGAUGAACCCUGACAGAUGAGCAGGCCGCGGAAACUAUGCACCGACUUAAUUGAAAUAGCUUACAGGCUAUAUUCCAACAAAACAGGCAGCAAAACAGCAGGCAAGGACUCUGGAACUGGAACAUAAAUCCCGGACGGAAAAGAAGGUGAAACAGACAUCUGGGAGGAAAAGGUUCCUAACUGAAAUUACCCAGAAGAAUCUAACGUGAUCCGAGCUGCUGGAAUCCUCUAAAUGAGAAGGAAAGGAGCCCCCAUGCUCCCUGUUUUAUCUCCUUGGCAUAGGAGACACUGAACCACCCUUUAUGAAAGGACAGGAGAUAAUGACUUCCCACAAUCCCUUGCAGGGGCUACAUAUAAAGAGACGCGAUAUUCAGCCAUCUAUGAAAUCAAAUGAUAUGCCUCUUCUUUACAGAUGGAAAAGUAUUUCCAUAAUAUAUAUAAUAGUAUUAGUAAUGGGAUUCAUGUUUAUAAAUAUUAGUAGAAAACUAUUUUGUUUUAUAUACUAUUUAUUAAUUUUGAAAGAAUAACAAUAUUAAAAAUUAAAAAAAAAGAACAGCAUUUAACAAUGUAAUCAUAAUGUAAAAAUAUUACAUCCUUGAGAAGAAAUAUGAAGAAAUACACACUGAUAUGCUCCCACCCUUUCAAUAACUUCAUUAAGUUAUUCAUUAAAUAAACUUUUUUUUUUUAUUUAAGUUCCAGCCGAGGUAGUAAGAAUUUUCACCAGUGGGAAUAUGUUUAAAAUGGGUUUAGGAGGACAAAGGGAACAGUGCUAUUCCCAUCAGUUAAACCAAACAGGCUGGACCAAUAAUACACGCAUCAUCUACGGAGAUGGAUAUAUUGAUAUCUAUAUUGCACAUGAGUGUAAUAUCAGUGUUGGUUGUGAAGUAUGACGUCAGGAAGGACCUGCAUAUCUCUGCAUCACUCACUCAAGGGACGGCAGGGGCUGUUUACAUGGUCUGCAUGUAUCAACACCGUCAGAAAGUACAGACCGAGGGGGGAGAAGCACAACCCCUCCAGAAUUUUGAGUAAUUUCCAUUGAGCUCAAGGGAAAAGUAGAGAUGUCAUUCAGCAGCAGCACAAGAAUUAACGUGAUGAAACAACGAGACAUAGGGGCAGCCUGAAAGCUAAUGGUAUAAACAAGAGGAACAUUUCCUGUGUAGAUCCUCCUUGAUUCUUCUCCUCGCCCUGUCGCCUUGCAUCUUAGUCCCGCGAGAGAUGUAAGCCGGGGAGGCACGGCAAGGGGUGUUAAACAGAUGACAUAUCCUCGCCUCGGAGCGUCAUUUAAAAGAGAUGUCAAUUAAAUAUGAAGAGCGUCACAGCUGAUCAGCUGUCCGUUGUUUAGUCAUACCUCUCUAUUUCAUCUUCUUUGUCAGAUGGGCAGGCAUGUUAUGUUGACUAUUAAUUCCAUGACAAUGUGGCACAAUGUGACAGGAACCAUCAAAUGUCACAAGGUUUUUAUUAAGACAGUCACACACACACAUAUAUGUGGUGGACUUUGUAUAUUUUGUUGUGUGUAGCUGCAGGUGUUUUUACAGAAGAUGCUAUUCCGACAUGACUGAUUUGAUUACAUUCAUACAAUAUAGUCCUAUUUAUUUGACAACAUAAAAGAAAGUUGACAAUCAUUUUACAUCCACUACUGAUUGCUCUUGUAAGCAUCAUGUUGGGAUUUUAGCAGUUGAAUUGGAAGUCGCUUACCUUCAAUAUAAGAACAAAAUCAAUGAAGGUAAUUUGUGGUUAAAACAGAGAGGAAUUGGAAGUGUUGCAUUUGAGUCCGGCUGUGGUUUUAGAUUGUCACAGGUUGGUGACACGCCUCUUCUAUAUGUUUUAUAAGUGUGCCAAAACCCCUUCUACAAAGGACAGACUGGUGUAAUGCUUCAGCUCCUCUGGCAAGCCUCCUUACACAUAGUUCAUUGUCCUUCAAGGUGGAGCCUUGAACUCUGUUUCCAGGUCACAGGAUCAGCUUGAAAAAUGGCACAAAAUCUGGAAAUGAAAACGAUCUUUAUUUAAUUAAGCACAGUUGAUGGAGAGCUUCAAGGAGGGAAAACCACACAAGGUUACAAACUCUGACAUUGGCAAAAAAUAGACUACGUUUUAAGUAUUUUGAAACCUUGUUUUUAAUAUGUUUUUAAACGUUUUUUUUGGGAGGAAAACAUGUAAGCCUUUCUUCCAGGUCAAAUAUAACAAGCGGUUCUGACCUGCAAAAGUGAGCGGGAGCAGCUUUGAUUAUUAUAAGCGAGGCCAUUCCUUUUGUUGGGCUCAAUAGUAGCAACACAAAUUUCUCUCAUCAAAUCAUCUGUUACGCUCUCAAUGAUGCUUUCUCUCCCAAAGAAAAUCUCUUUCUGCUGCAACAAGUCAGUGCCUGUGUGCCCUAAAAAAGUGGACAGGCAGAAUGUGUCUUCAUUUAUUGUUUGUGUUCCAUGCUUUUCUUUUUUCAUCACUCUUUUAGCUAAAACUUAAUUUGUUGCUGGGUCACUUCAGAAGAGUUGGCAAUUAUUUGAUCCACCACAGCUCAUUGUCUUUUCAAACAUAGCUGUAGAUGUAGCCUAGUCAGUACAUCAAAACCACUUCAAAUUAAAAGACAAAUUGCUCGCUUAUUUUCUUUUAUCAAACUGAGUAUGUCAGGAUUUUAAACGAGGUGCUAAUGUUCAGGAACAGACUCAGUCCAAUGAAAUUUCAUUAAUGAGGGCAGCUUCAAUCACAGAACCCAAGAUGAAAUGCAUUUCUUUAAGAAGGAAAAAAACACAUAACUUUCAGCUAUGUCCAUGGCUUGAAGGACUCAUGGGCUAAGAAUUGAAAAUCAUGUUGGCCCUGAAGCAGCACGCUACAUAGCUUCAAGUGGUUGGAAGAAUAUAAAAGUGCAACCAUAAGACUUUUCCUGUGGUAAAAAUGAUGAACACAGCAAACAUGUCUUCAAAACAGUAGCAUCUUGACCUUGUGAUCAUAGAUUAUGCUAAUAAUAGCCUGAAAGACGAUACUAGUAUAUAUGCACGUAUCAUAUUAAAUAGUCUUAUUGCACGUAUAUAUAUAUUUAAAAAUCGGAAUUUGAUCUUCAAAUGUAUUGAGUAACAAGUUAAUACAAAUCAUCAGUAAUCAUCAUAAUAAAUACAUUAAUACAUCACAAUCUGCGUCGACGCCGAUGUUUAAUGGUUUAUGAUUUACAUAUAAUAUAUAUUUAUUUAUGCCUUAUCUUUGUUGUUGUAAUUUCUAUUUAGUUUAAUUAAUUUAAUUGCUGUACUAUUUCAUUUUGUUGCAAUUGGUCUAGAAAUACUCAUAAUCAGCUUCACAGGCCCACAUCUGUCUAAUCUGAAACAGUGCAACACAUACUUACUUACACACAAGACACUCUUUCAUCCCCUCCGGCGAUACGUAACAGGAUCAACGGUACACACUUUGAUGGAGCUUUUGUUCACCUGUUGUCUUCCAGCAGAAAAGAAAAACCAAAGCAGUCUAGUAUCCUGCCAAAGAUGUCUUUCCCUCUGAGGACAUGACCAGACCUCAAGCUUGCAUGCCCCAAAUCACAGUUCAUAUGAAUUAUUCAUGAAUGAAAAAAAAACCCAGCAGAGUGGGGUGAAGAGAGUUGAGAUCCGGCUGCCUGAGAUGUCAUGAACCCAAAUAUCACCCAAUCUUUUCUUGUGUUAAUGGCAUUUGUUGGACUUGGGAGUACAAACAUAAUAUCCAGAAAUGAUUCGGCCAAUUAAAAGUUUUCUUUGCCAGUUUCCCUGCAGAAAUGUCAUUUAGACUAUAUAUUUAGACUCUAACUCGUAUGCACCUCUACUGUUUGUUGAUGAUUUAAUGACGUGUGCAUUGCUCAGUCAGGUAGAGGUGGGAACAGUUACUCCUUUCAAUGGAGUUUGGGGUCCAUAUAAUUAUUUUUGUUAAAGACAAAAUAACAUUAAAUGACAAUGCAUUAAGAUGGGGGGGUGUUUGUGAGUGUGAGAGUUUGUGAGUGUAGUACAGAGAACUAGUUCUGACGUUAAAAUAAAUCCUGUUAAAUUUUCUGAUUAGUGUUUUUCUUUUUUAUAAAUGAUAAUGUUCAAGGAGCAACCUGUACUUUCUGAAGUAUUUUUGCAAUGUGAAUUUGCAGUUCUGUUUUAGAUUAAAGGGUUGGAAAUAAAAGCUUUUUAGUGCCGUUUUUUUUAUCCGAUUCCUUUAAUUUAAUUUAAUUAGAAGUUUGUAUUGUUUUUGUACAUUAAAACAAAUUCUUAGCAAUCGCAACACCCAAACAAGUAGGUGCAAAUAGAGAUGCCAUAAUGAGUAUGUAACUUGGAGAGGUUCGGCAAGGGCUGCUAGGUGACAGACCCCGUCACACAUCACAGUUAUUUUCAAUAAUUGUAACAAAUUAAAAACACAUUAGCAUGCAGAAACUGUAGACAACACUAGCUAGCUAACUAAGCUUAUAGAGUUACAAGAUUAAACUGAAUAAGAAGCAAAUUAUUUGAAAUAGUUUAAAAUUCAUAAUUUAUGGUACAAUAACAAGAACUUUCACAACGGAGUUGAAAUGAGAAAUAAACUAACAUCUUUUGGAGAGCUUCUUUGGAAAGGGAAAAGGCCUCCAUGAGGAGAAACAAGAAGAACCUACAACUUAAAAAUAUCAAGCUUCAUUUAACAGGCAGUAUCAGGAGUCAUGGAUUAUCACAUCAGGUAAUUCCCAUGCGCCAAGUGUGUUAUAUGUAUGUUUCCAGACUGGGAAGUUGCCACCUUUUAGAACAUGAUACAUUAGCAUUCACAGUGCUAGUCAGUCAUGGGUGAGUUGAGGCAGCUGUCUGAUAAUUGAAGUGUGGCAGAACUUCUCCUGUGCUUGUUGAACAUUGAGUACUGUUUCGGAUUUACAUCCCCACACAUGAAACAACCCAUAGUGGCUCCUAGUGCUGAUUGUUUGCUGUGAGGGACAACACAUCACUCACUGUGAUGACGCCAUACGUCAGUACGCCUCUUUCAUGCAACCAUUGAAAGCCCAAUCAAUUGGCAAAGAGAGCCAUAGAACACAACAACAGAUUUACAGCACCAUUAUGUUGAGGAACAAGGCGUCCAUACAACCACACAAGAGACACCAUUUCUUACUAAACAACUAACCAGUCUUCUUAUACCACAUUUGUUUCCUUUUUGGUUCAUCGUAAUGCUCACAUUUCAGUUUCUGCCUUAGGGUUCACUUUGAACCAACUUGAUCACUGAGAAUAAGCCAUAAAUCUAUAUUGAAAUGCAGCCAUUGCCUUUCAGUCUGUAAAUGGGUGUAUUUUCCCAGGUCUCUUAAAGUACAGCCUGGUGAAUUAUAGGAUCCACUGGGCUGUGUUACUCUGGAAGAGCUACCUUGCAUACUGAGCAGACUGAUGAAAUGUCAUAGCCACUGGACAUAUGGCAUCACUUCAUAAAGUGAGAGGCAGACAUGAAACCAAUACAAUGGCCAUUUGGUAUUGCCAACUGCCAAAACAUUAAACUCAUAAAAAAGUUGAAGUUUGACAAACAUAAAAAAGUAUCCUGUUUGUGUUCAUUAGAUUUUUAAACAAAAAACAAACAAAACUGAGACAUAUAACAGUAGGUCUCCAGCUAUGCCAGAAUAUCCUUUUCUAUGAUUAAACUGUAGGACAGGUGGUAGGACAGGACAAGUGUUCUUCUUCAGCUAAAUAAAGUCUUUAAGAAAGCUUAUUGGAUCACCAUCAAAGUUGAAACAGGAUGUUAUUAUUUGUAGAGAUGAGUGCUUCUCGAAUAUCUCUAAAAUCUUUAUACUCUAUAAGAUAUGAUGAUCAUAUAGAUUUCUUCAGCUGACUCAGGAGGAACAACCUCUGCUUAUCCUUCUUGGUAAUGGAGCUGAUGUUCAACUUUACAAUCUAUGUAACGUUGGAAGCAGUCGCCACACACACAUUUUACAUACAAGCUCUGGCUAUCUAGCUGACGCUAAAAGAAUACUAUCUGGCUAAUGCUACAUAACGCCUUUUUAUAGUGGACGGUAACAGCAUAAUUAAUGGUUAUGACGCUAGGUAGAUGGGAUUUUUUACUCUCACAAAAGGGUCAAAGAAGUAUUCUUCAUGUGACAUCACAGAUGUGUACUGCCAGGUUCUGGUUUGUUGGUGUGUUUAUCGCUACUGUAGAAACAUGGCGCUGCAAUGUUUGCAAUGUGUGUGUGUAAAUAUCUCAGCAUGAUGACUACAUUCAAAUUCUUUUUCUAAGUGGCAUCACUCUGUAGUAGUAGAAGAUGGUUGAUCUGCAGCUGAAGAGAAAAGAGAGGCCAAGGAGGAAGUAAAAGGAAAAGUGUCAAGACUUAUAAUGAUUGUGUAAAAGUAAUUUUUUGUUUGGUAGAUCACAUGACUUGGAAGAUUGAAAAGUUUUUUGCGAGCCGAAAAGAUGAUGAACUACAUCCUCAACAUGUGCGUUUUGACAGGAACGCCGGUCUCUCUGCAAUGCCUUACAUGCCUGGUCGGUGUUGACCAUGCCAUGCACAGUUUGAGCCACCACCAGCGCUACUGUUUCACCACUCUGAGGUCUGAGGCCAGUGGUUGAGCAGAAGGUGGCGAUAAUUAUAACAGCCCGAACACUCAAAAGUCAUUAGUCCCUGAUGGAUAUCACACAUCCCAGCGAUGACCUGAUCCUUGGUCACAUAUGAGUGAGGAGAAGAAGGAAAGGAGAGUCUGUGGGGAUGGUCUGUACAGUGUAUUACCGGGGAGUAUAGGGGCAGGGUUCGACAUUUAUUAUUCAGACCUAAUCUUAUAAUACCAUGGACAUUUAAAAAAAGAAAAAAAGUAUCCACAGUCCACAUUUUAAUCACUGUUAGUAAUGUGUGUUUUUCCUGACCUCAUUCUUUAGGCAUGUUUGAAGGCUUUUGGGGGUUCCGAGUCUGUUUUUUUUUACCAUGGGUCGUAUUUUUUUUAUUGUGUCAGAUCUCUAUCUCCUUUCCUGUGUGUGUAAGUGUGAAAGGGCGAUGGGGAAGCAUAAUCCCAGAUAGUCUGUUUGUUCCUACCCUUUAAUACAACCCUCAGGGGCCUUUUAAAAAAAAUGGUAAUUGAAUUUUUUAAUUCAGCAUCCAUCUCUGUAACAAAUGGUAUCAACCCAGACAUUGCAGCAACAAUUUAUGAAGGCAUUAUUAGUGAAGGCAAUUUAUGAAGGAAUUAUCUAACCAUCAUACACUGUUUAAUAAUUUAUUUGGCAAUUCCUUACUUUUAUUUAUUUAUUGACUUCUAGAACAAGUUGAUUUCUGUCUCUUGUGUUCCUCUCUCCUGCCCCCUGAUUUCAUGUUCCUCUCAAUCCACUGUUCAGCUGAAGGAGGCUCAAGGCCAAUAUGUGACAGAGCCAUGUAAUAACUAAUCACCAUAAGGUGUGACAAAAAAUCUUGUGAUUAACUCUUUGAGCCAGAUGAAGUCUACUUUUAGCAUUUAAUACAUUUAUGUUUGCAUUGGUUCGUUAAGUUAACAGCACAAACAUCGUUUUAGUGUUUUGUCUUUUUUUUAUUUUUAUUUAUAAAACAUGGAAAACAAAUUGUUCUAAAUUUGAAAAACAGCUUCAGGUCUUUUGGCUGAGUUUUUACAACUCCCACAAAGUAGAUGAAUUCCUUUAGGCUGGACUGAGGCAGGUUUCAUAGCAGCUUUUGCAGUCUGCCAAUCCUGUAGCUGCCGUAUUAAAUCCUCCCACACAAAACCAGAUUGAUUACUCUGGUUGGUGGAGAAGCUCCAAGACAAAUCUUUACUCUUUCAGUGGUUGACAUUGACUGACCAAUGUAUGCUUUUUUGUAAAAGCCAAUGUACCAGUCUGACUCUAUGUGAUGAAUCAUAUAGUGUGUUUACAUGAUGAUGUAAUUCGAAUCUUUGCUUAGUCGGACCAUGCUAUCUUUCGGAGCAAGUGCUAUUAUCCCUAUAUACAUGGCAGUGAAUAAAUCAAAUCAUUGGCCGAAAGCAUGUCAAAUACGAUACGAUAGGUGGCGUUGUUUUCAUUACAACUAGUUGUGAUACAGCCAUUUCCGCUUGACCUCUCACCACUACCAACAACAACCAACAACAUCAACAUUACGAGAAAGAUGGCGAACGGAGAGUAAGGUGAAGCUACAUCCCUCUACUAUUUGUGCAUGAUGUUAAUAGGAGUACAGCGAAUGCGAAUGGCGCUAUUGGCUGAUUUGAUAACUGAGAUAAGACGCCGUUGGGAUCUCAAGCAUGCGCAAAGACGCAAAGUCCAGUUCCUUAUCCAAUUCACCGUUACAUGCCGCAAUAGUCAACUAUCAACUGGAUUGGAUCGAGUUAUCCAGGGGUAAUAGUCGGAUCGUAGUCGGACCGCACAUAGUCGGACAAAGGAGUUUACAUGAAACGGGUAAUUCGAUUUCAGUCCGACUAAGCCAGUUAUUCGAAUCCAUGUAACCACGCUAAUAGGUGCUGAGGUGAGCUAAGUUGAGUUAGUUUUUUUUCUGGACUGCUCACAGUACUGUCCCCUAAUCCCUAGUUCAUUGCCAUACCGGUCAGCACCUUGUCUCCCCAGAAAGCCCCAUCUCCAACACCACCCACACAACAGCUGUGUGGUGAAAGCAAGAGAGAAAACAAGGAAGAAAAUUGGGAAGACACUGAGAGGGAUACAAAAUAGUCAAUUAACAGAAGGGAAAGAGUGCAUCAGGAAACGGGAGGCAUAUGCACAAAAGCAGACGUAGCGAAUAACGUGAUGCAGCAGGGAUAGCAUCAAGAGUACAAAUGAAGGGAAAUGUAAACAAUUUAAAAAGAGGAAGAGGGCAUAUGGUGAAAGUGGUAAUUGCUUGGUUCAGAUAGUUGGGUCUGAGGCUAGGCAUAGAGGCUUGUGAGAUGGGCUCCUCAGGGCGCUUGGAUGCCCCACGUAGGAAAAGCUAACAUUCUAUUGCCACUUCCCUGAUGCCCGGGCCUUGACCUACCAAAAACGUCUCUCAAUUAGGUGAUUUGUCUGCGGAAAGCAAAAAAGGCUGACGAUGGCAAGGUCUCCUCCAGAGGGCUUGGGGGAAAUAGAAAUACACUGUUUACUGGAACACCAGUUACUGCCUUAGGUGUGAUAGACCUCUCUGCUGUUCUCUAUCCCUGACCCCAUCCUCUUUUUCUCACAAACACACUCUAAAUUCACUGCUACACAUUCUCCCCCUGCCUCAUCCAACUCCAAAGGGUGUCCAAUUUACAUUGUUGCAUGGGGUGUUAAACAUUUCAGAGUACACGCACAAGCAGAUACGCUUGUGAGGUGGAAGAGGCUGAGGUUUCACACAUUGCCUGUUGUGGAGGCUUUUCCCAGCCAAGCCAUGAAAUGGGAUAUUGUGUUGUGCCAAACCCAAGCGUGUCUGCGUUACAGAGUCUGAAUCUUGAUGCGGGCACAUAUUCGUGUGUUUUCACUUCUAAAAUGUGCCCGAGGGUCCAUGUGAGAAUUUACAUUUUCAUCCGAAAUUCCUCAUAGUUCACCAUUGUGACAAGAUAUUCAUAUUAUUAGCCUGUCAUGUCUUGACUCCCCACAAAACAAAGCUGCGGGAGCGGUAAUGACUGUGACCUUUAAUGUCCGUGUGGAAGUGCCGAAGCAUGCUGUAGUAACCCAUGACUUCCUCACUCACAUGAUCUUUUUAUGUAAUUAAGAGGGUAUGUGAAUAGUAAUUUAAUAACCUAAAUUAUUGCUGGAGUCAAUACAUCACAUUGUGAAAGGCUGCUUGUACUACUGCACCAAAACACAAAAUGAAGGGUUACAAACUGGGGAUUGAUGUUACAAGAACGCAGCCUUGGGGGGAACCGGUGCUGAGAGAGAUGUUCCCCCAGCUUCACGUGCUUCUUCCUGUCAGACAUGAAGUCUGUGAUUCACUUGCAGGUGGAGUCUAGCACGUGCAGCUCAGAGAGUUAGUCCUGCAGCAGAGACGGGAUGAUGGUGUUGAAAGCAGAACUGAAGUCAACAAACCGGAUCCUGGCAUAGGUUCCUGGGGAGUCCAGAUGCUGGAGGAUGAAGUGGAGGGCCAUGUUGACAGCAUCGUCUACAGACCUGUUAGCUCUGUAGGAGAACUGCAGGGGGGUCUUGAACGUCUUGAAUGUCUGUGAACACCGGAUCAGCACAAUGCUUCAGGGUGGGGGGGAGACCGAGUCCGGACUGGCUGCUUUAUGAAGGUUUUGUCUUUUAAAGAGCCUGUUCACAUCUCUCCCCCGAAUAGAGAGGGUGGUACAGUUUCGAGCAUAUAGUUUCUCUCACCGCCUUCCUAAACCUGUAAUUUGACUGAGUACAAGACCUUUCCCCACUUCUAAAUGCCUGAUCCUUCCCACAUCCCAGUCUGUGCAGUCAAAGCACGCCCGAGGAUCCUCCAGCACCUUACUGGUCCACUUCUUGAAUUCCCUCACCACAGGUUUGCAGAGCUUUAGCUUUUGCUUGUAUGCAGGAAUCAGAUGGACCAUGACGUGGUCAGAGUGUCCCAGUGCAGCACGAGGGACGGCGUGAUAGGCCCUGCUUACUGUUUAACAGUGAUCCAGCGUGUUCUCCUCUCUGGUAGGGUAUUUAAUGAACAGUUUGGGAACUCUAGGGAGUUCAUGGCUGAGGUUUCCUUUGUUAGAGUCCCUGAGGACAAUAACUAAAGAGUCCGGGUUGGUCCGCUCCACACGCCGUAUCUGGUCGGCGAGUGUCCGCUGUGCUUCGUGCACGUUGCCCGCCCGGCGACAUGUAAACACCAACCAGGAUGAAUGAACAAACUCACGGGGGGGAGUAAAAGGGUUUGCAGUUAAUGAUGAAGGAUUCCAGUUUAUAUAUCAAAUGUUGGUUACGCAAACUUUUUUGUCUCACUGUUAUGCUUUUUUUCAUAUUAUACUUUUUGCACUGCUAACCACGGUGAAGCAGCAAAAGCUGAACGGCUGCAUAGGCUGAACCGAGCAGUCUGAAAUGAGACAGUUUAGUUUGCUUGUGUCCCCAGCUUUUUCUCUGCUGCUUCUGUUGCCUACCAACCUGCUGCGCUUGACAGUGAAAGCCUUGUAACUGUAAAAAUGCAGCCAUCGUAGUCUGCUUUCUAUCUAAUUUAAUUUAGGAAGUUAUGCUUUGGAUGAAUGCUUGACGUCCGGAGCAUGAUACAUCUCAGGCUGAGAUGAAAAUGUUACGGUAAUUUUUAAUGAAAUUAAAUUGGUGAAGCUAAAAGUAAUAUUGCAAUUACUCAAAAGAGAGGAAAUCAACUCAGUCAAUAAAACAAAGCAGUAAACACAUUUGGUAACUUCUAUGCACAGACUAGCAUAGGAUACAAGCUAAUAAAAUUGUAACCUUCAAAUAUUACAAUAUAUUUACGGUUACAGACACACAUUAUUCUCCCCUCCACCUGAACUAAGUUGAUUUCUUCUGUCUACCUAAAACAAAACAAAAUGUAUAGUUGGUUUAUAAUCACACCACAGUUACAAUAAUCACACCUAAUAUUUUAGGUUGAUAACUUGUCAACUUCAGAUAAUUUUCAUCCAUUACGGUUACAUAAUAUGAAGUAUAUAUUAUCUAUAAAACCGUCACUACCUCAGUAAGGCAUUGGUCAACCUAGUGUGAAGCUUAAGGCAUUAACUAAACUUAACUUUUCACUAAUAAUUAUGGUCAGAUGCGGGCAGACGAGCUGCCGUUAACAGUGCAGCAGGUCCAGGUUGGUACAUUGAUGUUCCAACACAUAUUGAAAGGAUCUGGUGACAUUUGGUGGUUUCUUUCAGUGUUGAUUAAAUCCGAUGUUAGUAAAAAAGCUGGUUAAAGAAGAAUAUAGGAUGCAAUCAUUCACUUUAAUAAAAUCUGUUAAUAUCUAAUCAUUGAACAAUUGUUCUGGACAAAGGAUGCAUUCUGUGAAUGUAAUGAACAGUAUGUUUAUAAUAAUUGCUGAAUGGAAUGUAGAUGCUGUUUGUAGUAUUGGAAGGAAAAUGUAUUUAACAAUGUAUGUGUAUCUAUAAUUAGGUAUUUUUACAUACAGAAAAAAUAAGGACCACAGCAACACAAUCCAGAUUACGCAGAAGUACUGAGUUGUGGGAAACUUAAGUAGGUAAUAAGUAAGACCUUGAGGUAUUAAACUAUUUCUACCUAAAGAUUGUAUUUAAGAAACACAUUUGUUUUUAUAAUCUUUAAGUUGUAACAUCUGGUACGGAUAUCAUUUUGCCAAGUCUAGCAAAAUAACUUUUACCAUGAAGAAUUACACUUAUUAUUCUGAAUAAAUCAAGAAAAACAUUGUGUAUUUAUACAAGUGUUUUAUGAAGGUUUGUCUUAUUAUUUCUUCGGCUCUAGUAAAGGGAUGCUAUCUGUGCUGGGUCUACAGGCAAGGCAGACAUUCAUAUGAAGCUGAAUGAAGUGGAGAAAAAAAUGCACAUGUGGACAGGCAGAAUAGGAUCAAGACCACUGACUGAAUUCUCCCUUCAGCUUGAUCCCUGCUAUUCCCCAGUACUGAGAGUCGCUUUCCACAGCCUUAUCUUUUCAGCCACUUGUACCUCGCCGACAAAAUUUCAAAUCCCAGUCAUACCUAGAGGCGAGGCAGCCAGCACUAACGCUUCACGCCAUUCAACAUCGGUUUCCUAGCAACCUUCUCUGCUACCUUCUGGAUAAAAAUCGGUUCCUGUGGCUCUCCAUGAGUGUAAGCAUGAAGAGCAGGCGUGAAUGCCUCUGUAAUUAUCUGGAGCAGAACAGGUCACAUUCCGUUCGGAGGACUAUUUCUAUGUGGUUAGAUAACAACGUUUUGAUCAUUUAAAAGUGAUGUCUAAAUGAAAAUAAAAGACGGUUGGCAUUUAAUAUGCACAAACGUGGCCGCUGCCAUCUGCUUCGAGCAUAACUCAUAAGCGGGAUUGGUGAUAUAUUUUCCACCCACAAGCCCCAGAAAAUUGUAGUGUUGAUAAAACGCUGAGGACCACUGAGUGGUCAGAGGGAACCACCACUAACAUUGCGGUAAGUUGCAACUAAAUGCUGAACACUAUGCUGUUUACUAUGUACACUAGGCUUUACACCAGGGGUCUCAAACUCAUUUCAGGUGCGGGCCAGAUGCAGCCCACUUCGACCGAACGCGGGCCAGACUAUUAUGAGCCAGGGGGGCGGCGCUGACUGUAUGCCAAAGUCGGUGCCCCACGGGCUGCACCGAACGCCCUGGCGGCGCGGAGUUUGAGAGCCCUGCUUUACACCAAGUACACUAUACACUGUGAAGCAACCUGCACAGCGUCCAUUAAUGGAACACCUCGUCAGGCAUUAACCUUUACAUACUGCACUUUACCAUCCAGUCUAUGAGAAUACAGUACAUUCACUAUUUCAUUAUUUGUAUGAUUAAUUUAGUUCACUAUUUGAGCUCAAACACUCAUUCAUUUCAUAUUUAUAUAUAUUUAUUACAAAAAUUGCUGUACAUUUUACCAGCUUUGGAUUCAAGGUUUUAUUAAAAAUAAUUGUAUUUAAUGUUUGUAUUUUUACUGUUUAUUCAUUCUGAUUUAAAUAUGCAAUAUGUGUGUUAUUCUAAUUCUUUAGACGUUAAGAUGACAAAUGUAAAAGUUACGCAUAAUCAAAAAAAAUGGUAGAAUAAGCAGUACUUUUACAGUCUAUCCAUUGCGGACGACAAGCAAAAAACCCAUGUUGCCCAAGCGCACUUCAAUCCUGUUUUCUUCAACAUGUAAGGCAAAAAACACCACUGUUGUCCCUUUGAUAUGUUAUUAGCAUAACAUAUUUAUGUGCAAACAUGGGCCAAUUAACAUUGAGAUAUUACUGGACAUUUGCACAGCUAAGUUAAAAGCUUAAUCCCUGCAAAGUCAAAAUGAAAGGAUACUGCGAUUUGAACAACCGGCACGUUGCUGUAAUAAAGCACGAAAAGUCGUCGGCUCACAUCCAGUGUCCGAUUUCCUGAAAACCUUUGGUAAAGCUAUGAUUGACUUUGCACUUGAAGAGAAAAGGAGGUUGAACAUAACUUACCACAAUGAACUCACUGUGAGCAGCCCUAAUAAACAAUGCUUAGUAAAAAAAUUACUAACCAGCUUUUGAUCUCCUUCUUAAUACCUCAUUUUUUGUUAUUUUAUUUAUGUGUAUUUAUAUUAUGUGUAUCCAUUGUUUUGCUUUGAAAGGCUACUGUUUGAGCACUGUAACCACUUUAUUUGUUGCACUUUUUUGUUUGAUAAUGAAUAUUUUUCCCUAUGGCGUGAGGACGUGAGUCCUCCCGUCUCCGGUGCUUGGACGAAACAUAACAGGAAACACCCCAAACCAAUCCUUCGAUGGAAAAAGGAAAGGAAGAAAGAAAUAGAGGGAUUCUUGUCUCAGGAUGGACAGAAGUGUAAUAGAUGGCAUGUGUACAGAAUGAACAAUAUCAUUGAAUUACAACUAAUUAAAUCCAUAUGAUAUAAAUCAUGUAACAGUAGUUGCAGUCAAAAGCACUAAUCAUAGCUGAGGGGAUAUAAUAUUAUAACAGUGAAAAUCCACCCGAAGGCAAAUGCCUUCAGCGCUAUCUUUGAUGUAGUGCAACAACUCCAGUUGACUUCACCGGAUGCACCAAACUUCAUCAUGGGUCAUUUUAACUAGACUCAAUUUGAACAGAUAUCAAUGUGUCCGUUGUCCAACCAGUAAGGAUAAGACUAGAUCUGUGUUAUGGGUUAGUAAAGAAUGCUCAUAAAUCACUCCCAAUACCCCCACUGGGCUACGCAGAUCGAAAGUGUAUCUAGGUGCUGCCCUUAUUUAAAAAGGUGUUGGAGAGAAAAAAGACUAACGAGGACAUAAAAGACAGGACACAAGAAUCUGUGCUCUGCCUGCAGGAAUGUUAUGGCUGCACUGACUGGGACAUGUUUAACCAGUCAUGAUUUAGAUUAACUUAUUGAUGUAACAUGCUCAUAUGCUACUGUAACCGGGGCGGCCGUUCGCCUGGUCACAAGGGUGACAACGUCACUUUGGGACUCUCACCCAAAGUAUAUCAGUUGUAAUGAAAAAGAAAGGGAGCAGAGAGGUGAAGUUCCAGUUUUGUAACAAUGUUUCUUUUAUUUACAAGUAGGUUUAAUAUUUAAAAGAAAAGGAAUAAUCAAUCCAGAAACAUUGGUCGGUUUUAUGGCAAAAUAUAAUCUAUGCUUUGAAAAAGGAUUACUAUACUGGGGUACCCUACCAGUACAAGGUGACUACUUGAGGCCCACCGGGGCGGGGGAGUGAAAGGUGACAAGGGGGCCACCACCAGGUCAAAGGAAAGAAAACACAGCAAAUCAAAAAGAAUUAAAACACAGCAAACAAACAAAAUAAACUGAAAGGGCCUUCCACCUCGUGAGCCACCCCCUGUAGGCCUACUAUAUGCCCACCUGCACUGGCAUUAAAGGGACCCCCAGUAUAGGGCGCAGUAAUGGUUGUUUAUGUAGGACAAAACAAAGACACUAACCCAGAAAGAAAACAAAUUAGCAAUUCAUAAUCAAAGAUACUAUAUAAACCGGGUAACCAUAAUCUAUUUUAAAUCAAAGGCAAAAACAGCAGUGACCAGGCUCAGCGUUGCACCACCUGAUCAUUUCCUGUAUAAAAGAAAGAAAAGGUAAAUAACGCCAAUAAACAUUUCACUGCUAAAAAGCAUAUUAAAACAUGAAACAGA
This is a long non-coding RNA of Gasterosteus aculeatus aculeatus (three-spined stickleback), 18660 nucleotides long. The record is from Ensembl. NCBI's taxonomy places the organism in Eukaryota, Metazoa, Chordata, Actinopteri, Perciformes, Gasterosteidae.